Molecule: long non-coding RNA, 980 nt
Filed under: Physcomitrium patens
Lineage: Eukaryota; Viridiplantae; Streptophyta; Bryopsida; Funariales; Funariaceae
Description: long non-coding RNA (PPAT_LNC010875)
Source: RNAcentral
AAGAAGAAGAUUUUAAUUUAGAACUAGAAUCGAUGGAAUGCACAUUAUAUAAUACAACAAAUGAUCAAUUAGGUGGACCAAAGGAAAUAAUAACUUUGUAGAAUUUUGUUAAGUAGUUUUUAGAUAGGUAACAAUUGUGUGUUUGCGAGGACACUGCAGAGAUAGAAGCAGAGCUAUGUAGAAUAGAUAUUAGUUCGUUUCUGUAAGAUAUUGAUAAAAUAGACUAAUAGUCCAUAGAUUAGUCAAUUCAAGGAGACAGAUGGUUAAGUUAAUUAUUAAAAGUAGUUAAUUAUAGAUUUAUGAUUAGAAAUUGGGAAUAAGAAGUAGGUAUAUAGGAGUUGUAGAAGUUAGUUUGAGUGCUAGACUAAGAUAGUCAUGAGCUGCGGUAAGCUUGGUGCUACUACUUUGUUUCUUUAUUUCUUUGUUAUUGAAAAGUAAUGGAUAGUUUUUGAAUACUAAAAAGUGAGUCUAUGGAAUAAAUCAAAGAUUGCUUUAUGAAUUAUUGAUUAUGUAAUUGGAGCACUGAGUGAUUGAAUUAUAUGAGGAGUUAUUGGAAGAUUAUGAUUAUUGUUUAUUGAGAGGUGUGUGUGUUUCGACAAAAGAAGUUUGUGAUUAUAGAAAUUAUGUGAAUUCAGAUUGGUUGGAGUGAAGUUUGUUAUUUCUGGUGUUAGAUGAAAUUAUUGUGUUUUGAGUGGUCUUUUGAGAGUGCAAGGUUGCACACUAUAGUUAUCAAUUGAUGAAGGAGUAUUGUUACUAGGAAAAAGUAUUGUAGUAUUUCUUAGUAUUUUAGUGGUUCAGAAUAUCGUUAAUUGUGUGAUCCUAACAAGUAAAACUCAUGCAUUUAGUCUUUUUCUGUGUUCAAAUCCUCCUAUACAGGUUUAUUCUGAAAAGAAUUAUAGAAUAAAUAAAACGAAAAUUACAUCUAUUUUGAUUAUAGCAUUUAAAAAAAUUAUAGAACCUAAAUAUUUAAUAUGAAGCCU